RNAcentral lists this ribosomal RNA (383 nucleotides) under Amoebophrya sp. RNAcentral's name for it is "SSU rRNA". It matches the Rfam family "Eukaryotic small subunit ribosomal RNA", at positions 587 to 975 of the family's 1831-position model. The record is from RNAcentral. Lineage: Eukaryota; Dinophyceae; Syndiniales; Amoebophryaceae.
AGCUCCAAUAGCGUAUAUUAAAGUUGUUGCGGUUAAAAAGCUCGUAGUUGGAUUUCUGUUGAGGGACGUCGGUCCGCACUAUGUGCGUGUAUCUGACUGUGCCUCGGCAUCCUCUCGAAUAUCGGUCUGCGCUUCAUUGCGUGGGUCGGACUUCGGGACUUUUACUUUGAGGAAAUUAGAGUGUUCACGGCAGGCAAGCGCCCUGAAUAUAUUAGCAUGGAAUAAUGAUAUAGGAUCUUGGUCCUAUUUUGUUGGUUUCUAGGGCUAAGAUAAUGAUUAAUAGGGACAAUUGGGGGCAUUCGUAUUAACGCGUCAGAGGUGGAAUUCUUGGAUUGCGUUACGACGAACUACUGCGAAAGCAUUUGCCAAGGAUGUUUUCAUUG